Molecule: ribosomal RNA, 253 nt
Filed under: uncultured bacterium
Lineage: Bacteria
Description: partial 16S ribosomal RNA
Rfam family: Bacterial small subunit ribosomal RNA
Source: RNAcentral
UACGUAGGCAGCAAGCGUUGUUCGGAAUUACUGGGCGUAAAGAGUGUGUAGGCGGUGCCGCAAGUUUGGUGUGAAAUCUCCCGGCUUAACUGGGAGGGUGCGCCGAAAACUGCGGUGCUAGAGUGUGGGAGAGGAAAGCGGAAUUCCUGGUGUAGCGGUGAAAUGCGUAGAUAUCAGGAGGAACACCUGCGGUGUAGACGGCUUUCUGGACCACCACUGACGCUGAGACACGAAAGCGUGGGUAGCAAACAGG